AACCUUUAACGGUGGAUGACUCGGUUCUCGUGUCGAUGAAGAACGUAGCAAACUGCGAUAAGUGAUGGAAAUUGCAGGAUACUUCGACUCAUCGAAUCUUUGAACGCACACUGCGCCUGGGGGUCCCCCCUCAGGCGUGCUUGCUUGAGCUCGGUUCCAUUCAAAUAACGAUCUUCCCCUUCGGGGGUAAGGAGUAUGAGAGGUUUUCACCCAACCGAGGUGAUCUCUUUAAAUUUUCAGAUAGGUGAGUGGUUAAUUCCUUGAUAGAACCUCCUGAGUCGCUAAACCCUUUUUAGCUGCUUUGCUCGACGGUUAAGAGGCUUUAACUUUAUCUCUUCCUACUAUCAAGAGUCUUGGGGGUCUCCCCUCAAGUAAACCCUUUUUUAAAUCACUGACUCAAGUCAAGCACGAUGACCCGCUGAAUUUAAGCAUAUAAUUAGGCGGAGGAAAAGAAAACAACAGUGAUUCCCUCAGUAAUGGCGAAUGAACAGGGAAAAGCUCAUCCUGAACCUGUGGGGACUAGUCUCCUCACCGGAAUGUAGGGUAUCGACCGGCCUUAGUAGGUCUUUGUCUCCGACAGAAGUCCCUUGGAAAAGGGCGCCACAGAGGGUGAAAGCCCCGUACGUCAUUUAGGGGAUGAGGGUCUACGACCUUAGGUUGGAUCGUAGAGUCGAGUUGUUUGGGAGUACAACUCUAAUUGGGUGAUAAACUUCACCUAAAGCUAAAUACCGACGAGAAACCGAUAGCGAACAAGUACCGCGAGGGAAAGUUGAAAAGAACUUUGAAAAGAGAGUUAAAUAGUACCUGAAACCGUUAGGGGGUAAGCGGUCGGCACCAUCGACUAAUUAAUGCCGUUAGCUAUUCAGCCUCUGUCAGUGUAGAGUGGGAUAUCGGGAGCGGAUCUUCGGAUUCGCCUCAGGUGUUCUGCUCGAAGCUGCUGGGGGUGUAUUUGGUUAGCGGAUAGACUCAGGGUCUUCUAUGAGCGAGGGAAGCCUGGAAUAAGGUCUCCUCGGGGAGGUAUACGGUCGCUGAUCGUAGAAACCCGGGGGUACUUACCUACCUUGCUGCGUGGAAGAGGUCUCCGAAAGGAGAGUGACCGGGGGACUUCUUGGCUCGGGGUACGCCAGUAAUGGCUGCGAUCCCAGUCCGGAACCCGGUCUCGAUCUCUGAGAAGAUGGAAUCGACCGUCCCGUCUUGAAACACGGACCAAGGAGUGCACCUGAUGGGCAAGUUUUAGGGUGAUUAAAACCCGAGGGCGUAAUGAAAGUAAACACACAUCUGAAGCCUCGUUAAAGGGGAACUGCAAGAUGGACCCACAGAGUCUUACGAGGCUUUGUUGGAGUAAGAGCCUAUCGUGUGCGACCCGAAAGGUGGCGAACUAUGCCUGUGUAGAACGAAGCCAGAAGAAAUUCUGGUGGAAGUUCGUAGCGGUAUUGACGUGCAAAUCAUUCGUCAAACAUGGGUAUAGCGGCGAAAGACUAAUCGAGCCGCCUAGUAGCUGGUUCCUUC
Molecule: unclassified non-coding RNA, 1509 nt
Filed under: Metazoa environmental sample
Lineage: Eukaryota; Metazoa
Description: sequence contains 5.8S rRNA gene, ITS2, 28S rRNA gene
Rfam family: Eukaryotic large subunit ribosomal RNA (bases 392-1509)
Source: RNAcentral